CGUGAAUCCGGGCUUGCGAAUUCAGGACCGAUCGGCGUCGUCCUUCGGGGCGAACGCGCGGAUCGGUUUGAUGUUUCGUCGGCCACCUUCGUCGGACGUCGCGACCCGUUUGGCGCUGAUCGAAGGAUCGAAGUGACAGUUCGCGUCGUGUUUCCGCGGCGUGUAAGCGUCGCGGCGGACGAGGCGAGCCUUCGAUUCCGAGUCAGCUCGCUCGACGGUAUGACGGUGGUGUCCGAGGUUGUUCGUUCGCGAUAAUACCUCGGUGCCGGUCUGCGACGAUUCUUCGGGCCUCUUUCCGACCCGUCUUGAAACACGGACCAAGGAGUCUAACGUGUGCGCGAGUCGCGGGGUGUCGUCGGCGGCGCGUUUCGAACCUUCGGGCGAGAGGCGACGGUCGCCGACGUUAUUCAAACGAAACCCGACGAAGGCGUAAUGAAAGUGAAUUUGGGAGGACGGCGUCUCGAGUACACCUUCUCGGCGAUUUAAGCGGAGACCGAGCGCCCGCACUCCCGGGGCGUCCCAUCAAGUCCGGUCGGUACGCUCGACGACGGCGUUUUUUUCGUCGUCGUCGGUUGCCGCCGAACUGGGGCGCACUCUGAGCGUACACGUUGGUACCCGAAAGAUGGUGAACUAUGCCCGGCCAGGAUGAAGUCAGGGGAAACCCUGAUGGAGGUCCGCAGCGAUUCUGACGUGCAAAUCGAUCGUCUGAGCUGGGUAU
RNAcentral lists this ribosomal RNA (718 nucleotides) under Coelostomidia pilosa. Its description in RNAcentral is "eukaryotic LSU rRNA". It matches the Rfam family "Eukaryotic large subunit ribosomal RNA", at positions 464 to 918 of the family's 3401-position model. The record is from RNAcentral. Lineage: Eukaryota; Metazoa; Arthropoda; Insecta; Hemiptera; Coelostomidiidae.